Molecule: ribosomal RNA, 425 nt
Filed under: uncultured bacterium
Lineage: Bacteria
Description: partial 16S ribosomal RNA
Rfam family: Bacterial small subunit ribosomal RNA
Source: RNAcentral
GUGGGGAAUCUUAGACAAUGGGCGCAAGCCUGAUCUAGCCAUGCCGCGUGAGCGAUGAAGGCCUUAGGGUUGUAAAGCUCUUUCGUGGGGGAAGAUAAUGACUGUACCCCAAGAAGAAGCCCCGGCUAACUCCGUGCCAGCAGCCGCGGUAAUACGGAGGGGGCUAGCGUUGUUCGGAAUUACUGGGCGUAAAGCGCACGUAGGCGGACUGGAAAGCCAGGGGUGAAAUCCCGGGGCUCAACCCCGGAACUGCCUUUGAAACUCCCAGUCUUGAGUUCGCGAGAGGUGAGUGGAAUUCCGAGUGUAGAGGUGAAAUUCGUAGAUAGUCGGAGGAACACCAGUGGCGAAGGCGGCUCACUGGCUCGAUACUGACGCUGAGGUGCGAAAGCGUGGGGAGCAAACAGGAUUAGAAACCCCGGUAGUCC